UACAGAGGUCUCAAGCGUUGUUCGGAUUCAUUGGGCGUAAAGGGUGCGUAGGUGGCGUCGUAAGUGGGGUGUGAAAUCCCGGGGCUUAACCCCGGGACUGCAUUCCAUACUGCGGUGCUUGAGGACUGGAGAGGAGACUGGAAUUUACGGUGUAGCAGUGAAAUGCGCAGAUAUCAGGAAGAACACCCGUGGCGAAGGCGGUUCUCUGGGACGGUACUGACGCUGAGACGCGAAAGCGUGGGGAGCGAACAGG
RNAcentral lists this ribosomal RNA (253 nucleotides) under uncultured bacterium. Its description in RNAcentral is "partial 16S ribosomal RNA". It matches the Rfam family "Bacterial small subunit ribosomal RNA", at positions 524 to 776 of the family's 1533-position model. The record is from RNAcentral.